UCAGGAAANUCUGGAGUAAAAGGCUAUGGNUCAACCAUAGUGUGCUCUGGAAACUGUNUGACUUGAGUGCAGAAGGGGAGAGUGGAAUUCCAUGUGUAGCGGUGAAAUGCGUAGAUAUAUGGAGGAACACCAGUGGCGAAAGCGGCUCUCUGGUCUGUCACUGACGCUGAGGCUCGAAAGCGUGGGUAGCGAACAGGAUUAGAUACCCUGGUAGUCCACGCCGUAAACGAUGAGUGCUAGGUGUUAGGCCCUUUCCGGGGCUUAGUGCCGGAGCUAACGCAAUAAGCACUCCGCCUGGGGAGUACGACCGCAAGGUUGAAACUCAAAGGAAUUGACGGGGGCCCGCACAAGCGGUGGAGCAUGUGGUUUAAUUCGAAGCAACGCGAAGAACCUUACCAGGUCUUGACAUCCCGAUGCUAUUCUUAGAGAUAGGAAGUUACUUCGGUACAUCGGAGACAGGUGGUGCAUGGUUGUCGUCAGCUCGUGUCGUGAGAUGUUGGGUUAAGUCCCGCAACGAGCGCAACCCUUAUUGUUAGUUGCCAUCAUUAAGUUGGGCACUCUAGCGAGACUGCCGGUAAUAAACCGGAGGAAGGUGGGGAUGACGUCAAAUCAUCAUGCCCCUUAUGACCUGGGCUACACACGUGCUACAAUGGUCGGUACAACGAGUUGCGAGCCGGUGACGGCAAGCUAAUCUCUGAAAGCCGAUCUCAGUUCGGAUUGGAGGCUGCAACUCGCCUCCAUGAAGUCGGAAUCGCUAGUAAUCGCGGAUCAGCACGCCGCGGUGAAUACGUUCCCGGGCCUUGUACACACCGCCCGUCACACCACGAGAGUUUGUAACACCCGAAGUCGGUGAGGUANCCUUUUAGGGGCCAG
RNAcentral lists this ribosomal RNA (873 nucleotides) under uncultured bacterium. RNAcentral describes it as "bacterial SSU rRNA". It matches the Rfam family "Bacterial small subunit ribosomal RNA", at positions 579 to 1452 of the family's 1533-position model. The record is from RNAcentral.